Molecule: long non-coding RNA, 441 nt
Organism: Vespa crabro (European hornet)
Lineage: Eukaryota; Metazoa; Arthropoda; Insecta; Hymenoptera; Vespidae
Exons: 2
Source: RefSeq, a predicted model, not a curated record
ACGUUGAUACCAUUCGAACGAUGCCAUCUUUCACAAAUGCGAUUGUCUAUCACUGGUACAUCGACUGCUUGAAGUGUCUUUGGCCGUAAUCUCGAACCUAAAAUGUUCAAUAAGGAUUCUGUUUCUAAAAGGAAUAAGUUAGUUCAUUCGUUGUACAGGUUGUUCCUAAAAUGUACGAUCAAAUAUAUAUAUAUAUGGUCCAUGUAUUAGGAACAACCUAUGUAAAUGAGAGAUGUUAUUGUCUUCCUUAAGGUAAAAGACGGACUUAAUAACAACGAUAAUGAUAUCGGCAAAUUGGCGAAAUGUGUGGCAUGUAAUGAACCGGCCGAUCUAAUCUGAGCACUGCUACGUCGAAUCUGAGAACAAGUAGAUGAUUAAAAAAAAAAAAAAAAAAAAAAAAAAAAAAAAAAAAAAAAAAAAAAAAAAAAAAAAAAAAAGAGA